RNAcentral lists this ribosomal RNA (254 nucleotides) under uncultured bacterium. RNAcentral's name for it is "partial 16S ribosomal RNA". It matches the Rfam family "Bacterial small subunit ribosomal RNA", at positions 524 to 776 of the family's 1533-position model. The record is from RNAcentral.
UACGUAGGGUGCGAGCGUUGUCCGGAAUUAUUGGGCGUAAAGAGCUCGUAGGCGGUGUGUCACGUCGUUCGUGAAAACCUGCAGCUUAACUGUGGGCGUGCGGUCGAUACGGGCAUCACUGGAGUUCGGCAGGGGAGACUGGAAUUCAUGGUGUAGCAGUGAAAUGCGUAGAGAUCAUGAGGAAGACCAGUGGCGAAGGCGGGUCUCUGGACAGUUCCUGACACUGAGGCACGAAGGCCAGGGGAGCAAACGGG